This 429-nucleotide ribosomal RNA is filed under the name Bipolaris sp. FSU9312. RNAcentral's name for it is "eukaryotic LSU rRNA". The stretch from base 77 to 230 matches the Rfam family "5.8S ribosomal RNA". The record is from RNAcentral. Lineage: Eukaryota; Fungi; Ascomycota; Dothideomycetes; Pleosporales; Pleosporaceae.
GCCACCAGGACCACACCAUAAACCUUUUUUAUGUAGUUGCAAUCAGCGUCAGUAUAACAAAUGUUAAAUCAUUGACAACUUUCAACAACGGAUCUCUUGGUUCUGGCAUCGAUGAAGAACGCAGCGAAAUGCGAUACGUAGUGUGAAUUGCAGAAUUCAGUGAAUCAUCGAAUCUUUGAACGCACAUUGCGCCCUUUGGUAUUCCAAAGGGCAUGCCUGUUCGAGCGUCAUUUGUACCCUCAAGCUUUGCUUGGUGUUGGGCGUUUUUUUUGUCUUGCCUUGCCGCGAGACUCGCCUUAAAACGAUUGGCAGCCGGCCUACUGGUUUCGGAGCGCAGCACAUUUUUUGCGCUUACAACCAGCUAAAGAGGUCAGCAAUCCAUCAAGUCCAUUUCUCACUUUUGACCUCGGAUCAGGUAGGGAUACCCGC